This 815-nucleotide ribosomal RNA is filed under the name Asordaria arctica. RNAcentral describes it as "eukaryotic LSU rRNA". It matches the Rfam family "Eukaryotic large subunit ribosomal RNA", at positions 73 to 922 of the family's 3401-position model. Lineage: Eukaryota; Fungi; Ascomycota; Sordariomycetes; Sordariales; Sordariaceae. The record is from RNAcentral.
GAUUGCCCUAGUAACGGCGAGUGAAGCGGCAACAGCUCAAUUUGAAAUCUGGCUUCGGCCCGAGUUGUAAUUUGUAGAGGAAACUUUUGGUGAGGCACCUUCUGAGUCCCUUGGAACAGGGCGCCAUAGAGGGUGAGAGCCCCGUAUAGUCGGAUGCCGAUCCAAUGUAAAGUUCCUUCGACGAGUCGAGUAGUUUGGGAAUGCUGCUCAAAAUGGGAGGUAAAUUUCUUCUAAAGCUAAAUAUAGGCCAGAGACCGAUAGCGCACAAGUAGAGUGAUCGAAAGAUGAAAAGCACUUUGAAAAGAGGGUUAAAUAGCACGUGAAAUUGUUGAAAGGGAAGCGUUUGUGACCAGACUUGCGCCGUUCCGAUCAUCCGGUGUUCUCACCGGUGCACUCGGGGCGGCUCAGGCCAGCAUCGGUUUUGGUGGGGGGAUAAAGGUCCAGGGAACGUAGCUCCUCCGGGAGUGUUAUAGCCCUGGGCGUAAUGCCCUCGCUGGGACCGAGGUUCGCGCAUCUGCAAGGAUGCUGGCGUAAUGGUCAUCAACGACCCGUCUUGAAACACGGACCAAGGAGUCAAGGUUUUGCGCGAGUGUUUGGGUGUAAAACCCGCACGCGUAAUGAAAGUGAACGUAGGUGAGAGCUUCGGCGCAUCAUCGACCGAUCCUGAUGUAUUCGGAUGGAUUUGAGUAAGAGCGUUAAGCCUUGGACCCGAAAGAUGGUGAACUAUGCUUGGAUAGGGUGAAGCCAGAGGAAACUCUGGUGGAGGCUCGCAGCGGUUCUGACGUGCAAAUCGAUCGUCAAAUCUGAGCAUGGGG